This 202-nucleotide long non-coding RNA is filed under the name Elaeis guineensis (African oil palm). RNAcentral's name for it is "long non-coding RNA (EGUI_LNC015265)". The record is from RNAcentral. Lineage: Eukaryota; Viridiplantae; Streptophyta; Magnoliopsida; Arecales; Arecaceae.
GGGCAGGAUUGAUCCUUUCGAGCCCAAAUGGGCAGCCACCGAGUAUGCCCUACGUUUCAAGUUUCCAACAAUAAAUAAUGAGACCAAAUAUGAAACCUUAGCAGUCAGACUCAGAAUUGCCAAGGAACUGGGGAUACAAGAUCUAAAGCCCCGCAUCAACUCCCAACUGGUCGUCGGGCACAUCCGAGGCCAUUAUGAGGUC